GUCAAGUAAGAAUACCCGCUGAACUUAAGCAUAUCAAUAAGCGGAGGAAAAGAAACUAACUAGGAUUCCCUUAGUAACGGCGAGUGAACUGGGAAAAGCUCAAAUUUUAAAUCACCCCGGUGAAUUGUAAUUUGAAGAAAGUGAUUUGACUUUUCAGUUUAAUCUAAAUCCUUUGGGAUGAGGUAUCAUAGAGGGUGAGAAUCCCGUUCUUGAUUAAACCUCGGAUUGCACUAAUUCACUUUCUAAGAGUCGAGUUGUUUGGGAUUGCAGCUCCAAAUGGGUGGUAAAUUUCACCUAAGGCUAAAUAUAUGCAAGAGACCGAUAGCGAACAAGUACCGUGAGGGAAAGAUGAAAAGAACUUUGAAAAGAGAGUUAAAUAGUACGUGAAAUUGUUGAAAGGGAAACGAUUGAAGUCAGUCAUGCUAAUGAGGAAUCAACUUGGUGGUUUACUUCCUUGUGCAUUUUCUCGCUUGGCAGGUUAGCAUCAAUUUUGGUUGUCAUCAAAGAAUUAGGGGAAUGUGGCUUUUCUUCGGUAAAGUGUUAUAGACUCUGAUUGAUGUGGCGACUGGGAUUGAGGUUUGCAGCGAAUGCCUUUUUGGGCUAGUCACCUGUCUUCUGACCGUCACCUCGCUUUUGACAGCUUGCUGAUGAUCGCGGGAUUUGGCGACCUAGGAGUUAGAGUGAACAUAAAUUCGCUAAGGAAGCUGACGUAAUGGCUUUAAACGACCCGUCUUGAAACACGGACCAAGGAGUCUAACAUAUGUGCGAGUGUU
RNAcentral lists this ribosomal RNA (773 nucleotides) under uncultured Acaulosporaceae. RNAcentral describes it as "eukaryotic LSU rRNA". It matches the Rfam family "Eukaryotic large subunit ribosomal RNA", at positions 11 to 694 of the family's 3401-position model. The record is from RNAcentral. Lineage: Eukaryota; Fungi; Glomeromycota; Glomeromycetes; Diversisporales; Acaulosporaceae.